GACGAACGCUGGCGGCGUGCUUAACACAUGCAAGUCGAACGGAAAGGCCCUGCUUUUGUGGGCUGCUCGAGUGGCCAACGGGUGAGUAACACUUGAGUAACCUGCCCUUCACUUUGGGAUAACUUCAGGAAACUGGGGCUAAUACCGGAUAGGAGCUACUGCUGCAUGGUGGGGGUUGGAAAGUUUCGGCGGUUGGGGAUGGACUCGCGGCUUAUCAGCUUGUUGGUUUGGUAGUGGCUUACCAAGGCUUUGACGGGUUGCCGGCCUGAGAGGGUGACCUGCUCCGUCGGGCUGGAGAUACGGCACAGACCCGUCCGGGAGGCAACGGAGGAGAAGAUUGCAUUAUGCGCUGAACGAUAACCUGGCCCCGCCGCGUCGGGUAUGUCGGCCUGGCGUUAGUAUUGCGCUGUCCUCUGUCACGAAGUGUGAGUGACAGUAAUGGGUAAAUAAGCUCCGGCUAACUCCGUG
This 468-nucleotide ribosomal RNA is filed under the name uncultured bacterium. Its description in RNAcentral is "partial 16S ribosomal RNA". It matches the Rfam family "Bacterial small subunit ribosomal RNA", at positions 28 to 507 of the family's 1533-position model. The record is from RNAcentral.